Molecule: ribosomal RNA, 710 nt
Filed under: uncultured bacterium
Lineage: Bacteria
Description: bacterial SSU rRNA
Rfam family: Bacterial small subunit ribosomal RNA
Source: RNAcentral
UGACAACAGAGGAAAACAGAACACGUACGCUGGCGGCACGCUAAACAUGCAAGUCGAACGAAGUAGCAAUACUUAGCGGCAGACGGGUGAGUAACAUGUAGGUAUCUGCCCUUUGGCCUGGAAUAACACGAGGAAACUUGUGCUAAUACCGGAUAAGUCUUUACGGAGAAAGCUUUAUGCACCAUUGGAUGAGCCUGCACUUGAUUAGUUUGUUGGUGGGGUAAUGGCCUACCAAGACUGUGAUCAAUAGCUGAUUUGAGAGGAUGAUCAGCCACAUUGGGACUGAGACACGGGCCAAACUCCUACGGGAGGCAGCAGUGGGGAAUCUUGCACAAUGGAGGAAACUCUGAUGCAGCGAUGCCGCGUGAGUGAAGAAGGACCUUGGGUUGUGAAGCUCUUUCAUCGAGGAAGAAAAUGACUGUACCCGAAUAAGAAGGUCCGGCUAACUUCGUGCCAGCAGCCGCGGUAAUACGAAGGGACCUAGCGUAGUUCGGAAUUACUGGGCUUAAAGAGUUCGUAAGUGGUUGAAAAAGUUCGUGGUGAAAUCCCAGAGAUUAACUCUGGAACUGCCAUUUAAACUUUUCAGCUAGAGUAUGAUAGAGGAAAGCAGAAAUUUCUAGUGUAGAGGUGAAAAUCGUAGAAUUUAGAAAGAAAACCAAUUGAGAAAGCAACAUCUUGAGCAUACAUAAAACUAUGAACGAAACCAGGGU